Molecule: long non-coding RNA, 28067 nt
Filed under: Lathyrus oleraceus (garden pea)
Lineage: Eukaryota; Viridiplantae; Streptophyta; Magnoliopsida; Fabales; Fabaceae
Description: Pisum sativum (pea) long non-coding RNA (PSAT_LNC033631)
Source: RNAcentral
AAAGAACCAUGCACAAGUACCUCAAAUAUAGUCCAAAUGAAGUGAUUAUGGACUUUUUAGAAAGGUUACAUAACUUUCAUGUUUAAUACUUUCCCAUUUGAAGCCUGGAUCAUGAUGAAUUGUUUGGUGGAAAUUUUGAGAAAUCAAACAAUUGUAUUUUUUCUAAGUACCAAGUCAAAUGACCACCUCUUCCACCUUGAAUAACUUUUGCUAUGAACUACAAAUGGAAAUGGUUUCUUCAUCAAAGUUUUAUAUCUUUCAUCCCUAUUCAAUUUGGUCACAAAUUUGACUUCAUUUGGAUUUUGACCUCUUAACUAGGGCACAAACAAAAUGACCUAUAAUCUUUCACCAUUAAAAAUGAAUUUCCAAGCAAAACUAGCUCUUGAUGUCAACAGGAAAGUUGUUUGGAAUGUCAUAAGGAGCAACGUUUCUCUUGGAAUCAUUUUCAUAUGACAAAUACUAUAGGAGAUAGGGUCUAGGGAACCCCGGUUUUGACCAAUGGAUUUUCUCUGAUUAACCUCUUUGAACCAAGUUGCAAACUUGAAGUUCUUUUGAUCUUUUGGACUCAUGUAGGAUCAUAUAUGUAUAAUAUGAUGUAUUUUGAAGUAUACCUUGAUAUAUUGGACCAAUUGUUGAAUAAACUUAUUGAGGAAGUCACACAAGAUACCGAGAUGAAUUAGGGCUUCCAAUGUAAACUAGCUUCAAACUCUUGUUUAAUUAUUGAUCAAAAUGAUAAAUGAAGAACAUUGGGAUCCAUAUAUAAUGUCAAGAACCAUUUUGAAAUCUAUCUUGCAUUGAGGGUCUCCACCCCUAGUUAUAAGCUUGAUGAAGCAUUGGUGGAUGCAUAUAAUACCUACAAAAGAAACAAAGUUAUACAUAGACAUACUUUUGGUUUUUUGAUUAGUAAAUAAAUAAAAACAAAGUAUGAUACAAUGAAAUGUUCUUGGUGAUCUCUCCCAAUGCAAACCCAAUCAAUGAGGGGUAACGAGGAUGCCGAGGUGUGAUCCCAAAGCCAAUGCAAAUAUUGAGAUAGCAUGAGGGAUCUUAGGAUCAAAAUUGGGAUCUUACAUUAGGGUAAAUUUAGAGUAUGAUCGGUUCCAAUAAAUGUCUUCCUGUUAGAACUUGCAACAUUAUCGAACCACUAUUGAGAAGAAUCUCUAUGUUAAAGAAGGAGAGGAACACCCAAAUGGUGGGAGAGAGGGGCAUCUAGGUUAAAAAAUAUUAUAUGGAAAACCAUUAAAUUUCUCCAUACGUUAGAGUGAUUUAGGAAGGGGAGAUGUUAGUAAUCCCCAGUACGUCUGUCUCAAAAUAGGUAAAAGGGAACAAACCCCCCAACUCGUGGAUAAUAAGAAGCAGAAGACUCGCUCGCAAUGAGCAUAUUGGCUUUCUCCAUUUUUAAAAAGGGUUCUAGGGUCAUGUCCUUUUUGCGCAAUUUCAUGACUAACAUGAAACCAUCCUCUAUUUAAGACUCAUGUAAAGUUUGGAUAAAAAACAUUAUGACACUAUGAAAGAAAAUCAUUAAUAGAAGAACUAACAAGUCCUGAAUGAAUAAAAUACAAAGAUUAUAAGUGAAACAUAAUCUACUAAAGUACAAAUAUUAUGCUCUUACUAGACACAAGUAAACAUUUAAUUUUAAUCUCCAUAAAUUUUUUCCUAUGGUUAUUAUAAAAAUAAACAAUUAAUUAUAUCUCCUUAGUUUUUUCAAAGGUUAUUAUAUGUGUAUUGAUAUUUUAUUUGUUUGCAUCUUUUAAAUGUGAACAGGGCCAUCGUAACUAUUAAAAAGUAAGAGAAAUAUAAAUUGAAGAAUGAGAAAUAUCAGUAGCUUUACAAUAUUAUUAUAUAAAUAUAGAAGUAUAAAAUUUUAAGAAACUUUAAAUUAUUUUCAAUUUAAUUUUUAAAGAUACUUUGAGAGGUGAUAAGAUGGAUAAACGGUGCCAUGUAACAUUCUUUAUUCUCCUUAACCAACUUGUUUAGUAUGUGGAUAUGGAUAUUGUUUGUUAAAUUACCUUAAAAUUGAAUGUUCAAUGGAUCUAUUAAAUAAUACGCUUUCAAUUUUCUUUCAUCACGUGUCUCAUGCAAGACCCUAAUUAAAAGGUAAUGCAAAUGUCAAAAUUUUAUGUUAAAGUAUCAGAACAAUGAAUUAUGGAAUCUCGUCUAUCAUACUACAUAAUCUUUUUCAUUUCCGUUUAGUUAGAUUUGCAAAUAAGAGUGUUAGAUUACAUUAUUUUAUUUCCUCUAAAUAUUAUGUUGUAUGAUAUAAAAAGAGAAAAUAAGUUUUUUAUUAGGGUGCUUGAGGAGAUGUUGUAUCUCGCUCCAACUGAAUAGAUAAAACAUCAUUUGUUUGUGAAAAGCUUUUUUAUUCGCGUUGAGGAAGAAGUUAGAUUAAUGGGUUGAAAUCAUUUUUAGGUGGAAGAUAAUUAUUCGAAAGGAAGGAUAUACUCCUUUUAUAGAUAAAAGUAAAAAUAAAAAUAGAGAGGAAAUGGCUCGCUCGUAAUGAGCGUAUUGGCUCUCUGCAUUUAAAAACACGGUUCUAGGGUCACAUCCUCUUCGUGUAAUUUCUUGACUAACAUGUAUCCUCUAUUUAAGACUCCUAUAAAGUUUGAAUAAAAAACUUUAUGACACAGAGAAAGAAAAUUAUUAAUAUAAGAGGUAACAAGUCUUGAAUGGAUAAAAUACAAAGAUUAUAAGUGAAAUAAAAUCUACUAAAGUACGAAUAUUAUGCUCUUACUACACACAAGCAAACAUUUAAUAUUAAUCUCCAUAAAUUUUUCUUAUGGUUAUUAUAAAAAUUAACAAUUAAUUAUAUCUCCUUAGUUUUUUCAAAGGUUAUUAUAUGUGUAUUGAUAUUUUAUUUGUUUGCAUCUUUUAAAAGUGAACAAGGCCGCCGUAACUAUUAAAAAGUAAGAGAAAUAUAAAUUGAAGAAUGAGAAAGAUCAGUGGCUUUACAAUAUUAUUAUAUAAAUAUAGAAGUAUAAAAUAGUAAGAAACUUUAAAUUAUUUUCAAUUUAAUUUUUAAAGAUACUUUGAGAGGUGAUAGGAUGGAAAAGAAAAUAUGAUAUGCAUAAAUUGAAGGUCAUGAAUAUUUCUCUAAAAUUUAAAGGGAAGAAGAUACUAAAAAUAUUAUUAUUUGUUGUCCUAUUUCAUUUCAUUACAAUAAUACUAGUGUAUAAAUCCAGAACUAUUAGGUUGUUGUAAUAAAAUUUAAACAAAAACUCAAAUUAUUGAGGGUAAAAAUACAAUAUCCAAAUGACAUACGAUAACACAUAAAAUAUAUUAGGUGUUUGUGUCUUAUCUGGGGACUUUCAAUUAAAAACUAAAUUUGUAAACUCUUAAAGGAAUUUAUUUAUCUUCUCGGAUUAAGCAAUUCACGCACUAUUAUACAUUUACAAUUAGUGCGGUUCAUGCAUUUUCCUCUAUAAGGAGGUCGGCAAUAAAUUUUGUUUUCACAAUCUGAAUCAUCAAAACAUUUGAUUUUCUCUGCUGCAAUUAAAAAAACACUAUAAGGUUAUUAAAAUGAAAAAAAAAUACAAUGUAUGAAAUAAAAGAGAACAUUUAAAAUGAAUGAACAAAAGUUACCUUUAAUUUUCGUUCCAAUCAAAAACAGAGAGACUAACAUAAUCAUAACAUAAGCAAAUUUUACUAUUUGUACCAUAUUUCUCCUCGUUAUUUUUAUAAAUUAUUUUGUAACUUUGUAGUUUAUGAAUAAGAGUGGAUCCUCGCCUUUUAUAAUUUUUACUUGUGGACACUUAGUUGUAAAAUAAAUCUUAAAAUUAAAUUAAUUAGUAUAUAACUUUUCGAUACAUCAUUUUUUUGUCUUUGUCUCUUCAGCACAUCCAAAAAAGAUGUAAAAUAAAACAUGUCUAUCAUAAAAAUUUAUUCUUCUUAUAAUAAAAUUUUAAUCAUUUUAUAUUAUUUUACCUCGGAUGUGAAUGGGAGAUUACCUUAGUUAUAGAGAUGGGAUACCAAAGAGCGUCAUAAAAAACUAACAUCUUAUCGAUCGGUUUUGAAUAACCGAGGGGAAAGGUGAAAAAGUCAUUCAUUUGAUCCCCAGUGUAGGUCGGAUUUUUUUAAAAGUUAUAGAGAUGGGAUACCAAAGAGCGUCAUAAAAAACUAACAUCUUAUCGAUCGGUUUUGAAUAACCGAGGGGAAAGGUGAAAAAGUCAUUCAUUUGAUCCCCAGUGUAGGUCGGAUUUUUUUAAUAACUGAGGGGUAUAACCAAUGUUUUUUAAAAUUCCAUUUUAACUGACCUUGAUCAUUUUUUAUAUAGAUCCUACAAAUUAGGUGAGAGAAUCAUAUCAAUUGUAUUUUAUUUAGAAUAUAAAACAAAAUACCAAUUUUACAUUGUUUAUAAAAGCAAAUGUACAAUCCUUGCAAUACUUAUCGUGAUAUUUGGUAUACACAAAACCUAUGCCAAGAGAACCUAUACAUAUUUUCACCUAAAUUGACAAAACAUUUACACAAUGCUAGUGUAUAGAUAAAAAUCAAGAAAAACUAGUGUUUACUAGAUUCAUAAUGACAUAAGAAGACACUUGCACAACGUGAUCGGAUGUCAUCUAUAUCCUCUUGUGGAAAUGGUGUUUUAUUGCUAGACGCUUAUAAUUUGAACAAAAUUUAAAUUAUGAUAAGAUAACUACAACAAUAAUAAAUAACAAUUAUACAUAAAUUACAUGUAUAUGGAUAAAGUUAAUACCUUAUUCAAUGAAUUAAUAAUGCCAUUAGAGAAAAUAUUAGACAUAUGUAUCAUAGUAUUAUAUCGACAUAUAAAGUUCUGUGAAUACAUAAAUUACAUGUAUAUGGAUAAAGUUAAUACCUUAUUCAAUGAAUUAAUAAUGCCAUUAGAGAAAAUAUUAGACAUAUGUAUCAUAGUAUUAUAUCGACAUAUAAAGUUCUGUGAUUAUCUUCGCUGCUACAAAUAAUUUUCAUAUUGUUACUAAUUAAUACACACAAGACACAAGUAAUACAUUAGAGAAACUAAAAUAAUAUCAAAAAGCAUAAGUAAUACUUACACGUGGUUCUAUGAACUUUAGCUUUUUACCCUGUAUAUUACGUUUCACAAAAUUGUAUCCCUCCAAAUCAUUACAUGAUGGUAAAAAUCAAACAUGAAUAAAACUUUUCAAGACUAAAGGUAAAAUUUGAGUAUUCCAAAUAAUACCACUUACGCACUUAAAAUCUUUUGUAUAUCUUCAUCAAGAUGACAAUGUAACCAGCAUAACAUAACUAUAAUAUUUUUCUUCUGACAUAAAAUAAUUAAUUGCAAAUGUUUGCUACAUAAAAACAUAGAAUAAUUACCAAUGUGUGUAUAAAAUUGAUUUAUAAAUGAAAACACAAAUUAAAUCAUAUACUUAAUUAUGGAUAAAUUAUGACAUGUAAUAUUCUUUAUUCUCUUUAACCAACUUGUUUGUAUGCGUAUAUGGAUAUUGUUGGUUAAAUUACCUUAAAAUUGAAUGUUCAAUGAAUCUAUGAAAUAAUAUGCUUUCAAUUUUCUUUCGACACUUGUCUCAUGCAUGACCCUAAUUAAAAGGUAAUGCAAAUGUCAAAAUUUUAUGUUAAAGUAUGAGAACAAUGAAUUAUGGAAUCUCGUCUAUCAUACUAAAUAAUCUUUUUCAUUUCCAUUUAGUUAGAUUUGCAAAUAAGAGUGUUAGAUUACAUUAUUUUAUUUCCUCUGAAUACUAUGUUGUAUGAUAUAAACAGAGAAAAUUAUUGUUUUAUUAGGGUGCUUGAGUAGAGGUUGUAUCUCGCUCCAACUGAAUUGAUAAAACAUCAUUCGUUUGUGAAACGUUUUUUAGUCGCGCUGAGGAAGAAGUAAGAUUCAUGGGUUGAAAUUAUUUUUAGGUUGAAGAUGAUUAUUCGAAAGGAAAGAUAUACUCCUUUUAUAGAUAAAAGUAAAAAUAAAAUUAGAGAGGAAAUGACUCGCUCGUAAUGAGCGUAUUGGCUCUCUGCAUUUUAAAACAGGGUUCUAGGGUCACAUCCUCUUCAAGUAAUUUCUUGACUAACAUGUAUCCUCUAUUUAAGACUCAUAUAAAGUUUGAAUAAAAAACUUUAUGACACAGAGAAAGAAAAUUAUUAAUAGAAGAGGUAACAAGUCUUGAAUGGAUAAAAUACAAAGAUUAUUAGUGAAAUAAAAUCUACUAAAGUACGAAUAUUCUGCUCUUACUACACACAAGUAAACAUUUAAUAUUAAUCUCCAUAAAAAAUUUCUUAUGGUUAUUAUAAAAAUAAACAAUUAAUUAUAUCUCCAUAGUUUUUUCAAAGGUUAUUAUAUGUGUAUUGAUAUUUUAUUUGUUUGCAUCUUUUAAAGGUGAACAAGGCCACCGUAACUAUUAAAAAGUAAGAGAAAUAUAAAUUGAAGAAUGAGAAAGAUCAAUAGCUUUAUAAUAUUAUUAUAUAAAUAUAGAAGUAUAAAAUUGUAAGAAACUUUAAAUUAUUUUCAAUUUAAUUUUUAAAGAUACUUUGAGAGGUGAUAGGAUGGAAAAGAAAAUGUGAUAUGCAUAAAUUGAAGGUCAUGAAUAUUUCUCUAAAAUUUAAAGUGAAGAAGAUACUAAAAAUAUUAUUACUAUGUUGUCCUAUUUCAUUUCAUUACAAUAAUACUAGUGUGUAAAUCCACAACUAUAGGUUGUGAAAAUAAAAUUUAAACAAAAAAAAUUAUUGGGGUAAAAAUACAAUAUCCAAAUGACAUACGACAACACAUAAAAUAUAUUAGGUGUUUGCGUCUUCUCUAGGGACUUUCAAUUAAAAACUAAAUUUGUAAACUCUUAAAGUAUUAUUAUCUCCUGGGAUUAAGCAAUCACGCACUAUUUUACAUUUACAAAUAAGUUUGCUUAUGCAUUUUCCUCUAUAAGGAGGCCGGCAAUAAUUUUUUUGAUAAUCUGAAUCAUCAAAACAUUCGAUUCUCUCUGCUGCAAUAAAAAACACUAUAUGGUUAUUAAAAUGAAAAAUAUAACGUAUGAAAUAAAACAGAACUUUAAAAUGAAUGAACAAAAGUUACCUUUAAUUUUCGUUCCAAUAAAAAUAGAAAGAAUAAUAUAAUCAUAACAUAAGAAAAUUAUUACUUCUACCAUAUUCUCCUCGUUAUUUUUAAUAAAUUAUUUUGUAACUUUAUAGUUAUGAAUAAGAGUGGAUCCUGCCUUUAAUAAUUUUUACUUGUGGACACUUAGUUGUAAAAUAAAUCUUAAAAUUAAAUUAAUUAGUAUAUAACUUUUCGAUACAUCAUUUUGUUGUCUUUGUCUCUUCAGCAUAUCCAAAAAAGAUGUAAAAUAAAACUUGUCUAUCAUAAAAAAUAUUCUUCUUAUAAAAAUUUUUAAUCAUUUUAUAUAUUUUACCUCGGAUGUGAAUGGGAGAUUACCUCAGUUAUAGAGAUGGAUACAAAGAGCGUCAUAAAAAACUAACAUCUUAUACGAUCGUUUUGAAUAACCGAGGGAAAGGUGAAAAAGUCAUUCAUUUGAUCCCCAGUGUAGGUCGGAUUUUUUAAUAAUUGAGGGGUAUAACCAAUGUUUUUAAAAUUCCAUUUUAACUGACCUUGAUCAUUUCUAUAUAGAUCCUACAAAUUAGGUGACAGAAUCAUAUCAAUUUGUAUUUUAUUUAGAAUAAAACAAAAUACCAAUUUUACAUUGUUAUAAAAGCAAAUGUACAAUCCUUGCAAUACUUAUCGUGAUAUUUGUAUACACAAAACCUAUCGCAAGAGAACCUAUACAUAUUUCACCUAAAUUGACAAAACAUUUACACAAUGCUAGUGAUAGUUAAAAAUCAAAGAAAAACUAGUGUUGACUAGAUUCAUAAUGACAUAAGAAGACACUUGCACAACGUGAUCGGAUGUCAUCUAUCUCCUCUGUGGAAAUGGUGUUUUAUUGCUAGACGCUUAUAAUUUGAACAAAAUUUAAAUUAUGAUAAGUUAACUACAACAAUAAUAAUUAACAAUUAACAAUAAUUACAUGUAUAUGGAUAAAGUUAAUACCUUAUUCAAUGAAUAAUAAUGCCAUUAGAGAAAAUAUUAGACAUAUGUAUCAUAGUAUUAUAUCGACAUAUAAAGUUCUGUGAUUAUCUUUGCUGCUACAAAUAAUUUUCAUAUUGUUACUAAUUAAUACACAAAAGACAAAGUAAUACAUUAGAGAAACUAAAAUAUCAAAAAGCAUAAGUAAUACUUACACGUGUUCUAUGAACUUUAGCUUUUACCCUGUAUAUUACGUUUCACAAAAUUGUAUCCCUCCAAAUCAUUACAUGAUGGUAAAAAUCAAACAUGAAUAAAACUUUCAACAGACUAAAGGUAAAAUUUGAGUAUUCCAAAUAAUACCACUUACGCACUUAAAAUCUUUUGUAUAUCUUCAUCAAGAUGACAAUGUAACCAGCAUAACAUAACUAUAUAUUUUUCUUCUGACAUAAUAAUUAAUUGCAAAUGUUUGCUACAUAAAAACUUAGAAUAAUUAAAAUGUGUGUAUAAAAUGAUUUAUAAUGAAAACACAAAUUAAAUCAUAUACUUAAUUUUGAUAAAUUAUGACAUGUAAUAUUCUUUAUUCUCUUUAACCAACUUGUUGUAUGCGUAUAUGGAUAUUGUUUGUUAAAUUACUAAAAUUGAAUGUUCAAUGGAUCAUAUGAAAUAAUAUGCUUUCAAUUUCUUUCGACACUUGUCUCAUGCAUGACCCUAUUAAAAAAGUAAUGCAAAUGUCAAAAUUUUAUGUUAAAGUAUGAGAACGAUGAAUUAUGGAAUCUCGUCUAUCAUACUAAAUAAUCUUUUUCAUUUCCAUUUAGUUAGAUUUGCAAAUAGAGUGUUAGAUUACAUUAUUUUAUUUCCUCUGAAUACUAUGUUGUAUGAUAUAAAGAAAGAAAUAAUUUUAAAUUGAUAUUUUCAUUAUUAUAUUUUUCAUGAUUUAAUUGAUAUGUGAAUAUUUUUAAUGUUUAAAAAUACUUUGAAGUUUUCAAAAUUAUGAUUUUUUUCUCCAAGGUACUUUGACCUUGUUUGACAUAUGAUAAUCUCAUGGCAAUUUUUUUGUGUUUUGAUGAGGUUUUUAGGAAAUUGACCACAUAUUUAAUUUAACGCAUAUUUUGUUAUUUUUAAUUGUUUAAAUGCCAAAUAAAUUGUGUAGAGCCAUUUAAUUGACUUUGUGAGUUUGACUUGUGUUGUUGGACCUUGGUCAAGGGGAUUUGACUUGUUAGGUUAAGAUUAUUGGAUUAGGGGAUUGAUGGAAUGUAAAUUCCAUCUCCCAAAAUGAACGAAUGAUCUUAAUUUUGGUAAAGUCCUCUUGACCAAUUUGUGAUUGAUCCAUUCCCCCUCCCUCUUUAUCUCAUUCCCCUUCUUUAUUCAUUCAUAUCAUGGACCUAUGUAUAUCUACAUCCAAAGGCUAGUUGAUUGCAAAAUCAACAUGAGUAUGGAUGAGAUUAGGUCACCACUUUGCAUAUUCUUUUUGUGUGUGGUAUGUUUCAUGAGUAUAAUCCAUUAUACUAUAUCUCUAACAUGAAUUAACACCAAAUUCUAUUGCCCGACCUCAAAUAGUUGUGACUUCUACAUAAGUCCAAUUAUGAUUGCUUAAUAUAGCGCUAAAUUUGUGACACAAAAAGGCAUAGCCAUUAUAGUAGAAGUGAGAUGUAAGUUCCACUCUUUCAUGGUGUGAGAAACUUGCCAUUUUUUCCUCCCGUGGAAAUGUCUUGGUUACAGAGACCUGCUAGUGAUAAGUGCGUUGAGUGUUCUCCAAAGAAUGACUUAAACAAAAACAAAACAAAACAAUACUAACUCUAACCGACUAACACUAACAUAUUAUACAAGCCAUUUACUUUUAUGCACUUUAAUUGAGCUUUAAUUCAUUUGCCAUUAUUCAUACCAUUCAAUUUGUUACUUAAUGUCAUUUUCACUUGCGCACACUGGUGCAUAAUUUGUGAUAUAUUGUAUUUGUAUAUACUUGUUGUUUUGUGUGUCCUUUUCCUUAAUGUACAUCAUAAGAACAAAAACCCUAAUAAAUAUUUUCGUGGACUGUUGAUUUGAUCUGAGACUAUUGGACUUAGAAUUUAGGCAACACUCCCUAUGCAAAUGACUUGGCCAAUGCCAAAUUUCAUGAAACCAAUUGCUUGUGAAGUUAACAUCCAUAUGAUACAAUAUUGAAGAUCCAUUUGAGUUCAUCUGCAACAUGAUCAUAUUGAAACUGUUAUUUUGAACCUGUGUCUAAUGCUCCUCUUUUAAGUCAUCUGAUACAUGGGGAAUCAUAAAGAAAGAUCAUGGAGUUGCUAAUCUUAGAUGUGGCUAUCUUUAUUUGAUGUCUUGGUCUUCCACCUUGCUAUUUGUGUAAUUGAUAUUCCUUGAUUCUAAACUCCAUAGGAAAUUUGGUUUCUAUAUGACAUUUUUGUUUAUUGGAUUACAGCCGUGGUCAGAUCUUUUCAACUCUUAACUUUUAAAUUCGUGCUUAGGAUUAGUCUCUUCAUCUCCUUCCAUUCUUUUAAUUUCAAAAUCUCUCCCUCCUUUUAAAACCUUUUUCAUUGUGUUUGUUUUCUAAACUUAGACCAUUUUUUUGCAAAUUAGAAACUUUGGCCUUAUGCCAUUGCAUUUUUAAACUCUUUUCUCAAUCAAACCUGUAAAUAAACUUAAUUAUACUUGACUUAAAAUUUUAGAAAGAAAAAAGAACUAACACUCAUUCAAAUAAUUUUGGCCUUUUUGUGCCUUGUUAAACUUAAAUUUUGUUAAAAGCAAUGCACUCAUUUUGAAUUAAUACCACGAACUACGAGUUUUGAUCCCUCAUUUUGUGUUGGUACCUAGCACAAGUCUGAAGGUCUUGUCAAACACAAAAAUAUAUUUAAUGAAUCUUUUUCUCAUCCCUCCACUCUAUUUUUUUUGCAAACAUCAGUUGUACAAAAACACAUAUCCAAAAAAAAGGGCUCCCUAGGAUAACCUAUGACAAUUUGGGUGCUAACAUCUUCCCUCUGUGUAAUCCACCCCCUUAUCCGUAAUCUCUGACAUUUUAUUAGUUUUGAUUUAAAAACUUCUUAUCUUUUGAGUUUUGUUCGUCCUUUUCCCUCUUCCUUGAAAAACCCAAAAGCGCGGUGGCGACUCUGGUUUUAUUGAAUUUAGCAUAUCCAUAGCUUAAUGGUCAUGGCAACCAAAUCAAAUCAGGAGUAUAUUAUUUGAUGAGAAUGUAUUAGCACCCCCGCAUAUUGUUGUACUCAACGAGAACCAUUUAGUUAAAUUUACGUGUAAAAGUGUUAGAUUAUGAUUUUAUUUCAUUUGAUUAUUAUGUUGUAUGAAAUAACCAAUAAAAUAAGUUUUUUAAUUAGGGUGCCUGACAGAAUUUUAAAUCUCGCUCCAACUGAAUAGAUAAAACAUCAUUCGUUUGUGAAAAGUUUUUUAGUCGUGCUGAGGAAGAAGUAGGAUUGAUGGGUUGAAAUAUUUUUUAGGUGGAAGAUGAUUAUUCUAAAGGAAAGAUAUACUCCUUUAUGGAUACAAGUAAAUAAAAAUAGAGAGUACAUGACUCGCUCGCAAUGAGAAAAUUGUCUCUCUCCUUUUUUAAACAUGGUUCUAGGGCCACAUCCUCUUCGUGUAAUUAAUUGACUAACAUAUAUCCUCUAUUUAAGACUUAUGUAAAGUUUGGAUAAAAAACUUUAUGACACAAAGAGGGAAAUAAUUAAUAGAAGAGUAACAAGUCUUGAAAUGGAUAAAAUACAAAGAUUAUAAGUGAAACAAAAAUCUACUAAACUACACAUAUUAUGCUCUUACUAGACACAAGUAAACAAUUAUUUUAAUCGCAUAAUAUUCUCCAAUGGUAAUAUAAUAAACAAUUAAUUAGAUCUCCUGAGUUUUUUCAAAGGUUGUUAUAUGUGUAUUGAUGUUUUAUUUGUUCACAAUUUUAAAAAGUCAACAAGGUCACUGUAAUUAUUAAAAAGAAAAGAGAAUAUAAAUGAAGUAUGAGGAAGAUCACUAGUUUUACAAUAUUAUUAUAUAAUAUAGAAGUACAAAGUAUAAGAAACUUUAACUUAUUUUCCAAUAAAUCUCUAGAGUUACUUUGAGAGGUGAUAUGAUUGAAAAGAAAAUGUAAUAUGGAUAAAUUGAAGGUCAUGAAUAUUUCUCUAAAAUUAAAAGGGAAGAAGGCAUCAAAAUAUUAUUAGUUUUUUCUAAAAUUAAAAAAGAGAAGAAGACAAUAAAAAAUGAAAAUAUAUUAUUUGUUAUUUUAUUUCAUUUCAUUACAAUCAUGUUACUAUAUAACCAACAACUACCAGGUUCUUGAAAUAGAACAAAAACAAAUAAGAUUGUUGGGGUAACCAUACAAUAUCCAAAUGAUAUGCGACAACACAAUAUAUAGGUGUUUGUGUGUUCUCUCGGGUCUCUCUUUUUAUGAGAUGUUUGUAAACUACUAAAGAUAUUUCUUUAUCUUCUCGAUUAAGCAAUUCAAGUCCUAGUACUCAUUAAACAAUGACUCUUGUUAUGCAUGUUCUUUAAAAGGAAACCGAAAAAAAAAUAUUUCUACAAUCUGAAUCAUCAAAACAUUUAAUUCUUUCUCCUACAAUAAAAACACACAAUAAGGUUAUUAAAAUAAUAAAAAAUACAAGGUAUGAAAUAAAAAAUAAAGUGUUAAAUGAAUGAAUUGAAGUUUCCUUCAAUUUUCGAUCCAAUAAAAAUAUAAAAGAUUAAUAUAAUCAUAACUUAAUAGAACUUUAUUAUUUCUAUCCUAUUUCUCCUCGUUAUAUUUAAUAAAUUAUUUUAUAACUUUAUAGUUUAAAUAACAGUGCAUCCUCACCCUCUUUAUAUCUCUUAAUUAUGGAUACAUAGUUGCAAAAUAAAUCUUAAAAAGAUGUCACAUCAUUUUGUUGUGUUAGUCUCUUCAGCACAUCUAAAAAAGAUGUCGGAUAAAACUUGUCUAUCAAAAAAUAUUUUCUUCUUAUAAUAAAAUUCUAAUUAUUUUAAAUUAUAUUACCUCGGAUGUGAAAUGGAGAUUACCUCAGUUAUAGAGAUUGGAUAACAAAGGGCAUCAUAAAAAACUAAUAUUUUAUCCAUCGGUUUUGAAUAACCGAGGGGAAAGGUGAAAAAGUCAUUGACUUGAUCCCAAUUUACGUAGGAUUUUUUAAAAUAACCGAGGGGUAAUAACCAAUGUUUUUUAAAAUUCCAUUUUGACUUACCUAAAUCAAUUUUUACAUAGAGCCUACAAUUAAGUGACAGAAUCAUAACGUUUGUAUUUUAUAUAGAAUACAAUACAGAAUAUCAUUUUAGCAUUGUUUAGCAAAACGUAAAUGUACAACCUUACACAAUACUUUAUAAUGCUAAUUUGGUAUACACAAAACCUCUACCUAAGAGAAACCUAUACAUAUUUGCACCUAAAUGAAAAGAACCUGCUACACAAUGCAAGUGUAUAGAUUAAAUAAAGAAAAAUCUCUCUCGGCGCGGAUUGCGCUGCACGAUUGCGCGAGAAGAUGUUGACCGAGUAAAACGUGAGAGAGUCAGGCUACGAGAGAUGUAANUAUAAUUAUUGGGGGUAAAAAUACAAUAUCCAAAUGACAUACGACAACACAUAAAAUAUAUUAGGUGUUUGCGUCUUCUCUAGGGACUUUCAAUUAAAAACUAAAUUUGUAAACUCUUAAAGGUAUUUAUUUAUCUCCUGGGAUUAAGCAAUUCACGCACUAUUUUACAUUUACAAUAAGUGUUGCUUAUGCAUUUUCCUCUAUAAGGAGGCCGGCAAUACAUUUUGUUUUGAUAAUCUGAAUCAUCAAAACAUUUGAUUCUCUCUGCUGCAAUAAAAAAACACUAUAUGGUUAUUAAAAUGAAAAAAAAUAUAACGUAUGAAAUAAAACAGAACAUUUAAAAUGAAUGAACAAAAGUUACCUUUAAUUUUCGUUCCAAUAAAAAAUAGAAAGAAUAAUAUAAUCAUAACCUAAGGAAAAUUUAUUACUUCUACCAUAUUUCUCCUCGUUAUUUUUAAUAAAUUAUUUUGUAACUUCAUAGUUUAUGAAUAAGAGUGGAUCCUCGCCUUUAAUAAUUUUUACUUGUGGACACUUAGUUGUAAAAUAAAUCUUAAAAUUAAAUUAAUUAGUAUAUAACUUUUCGAUACAUCAUUUUGUUGUCUUUGUUCCUCUUCAAGCAUAUCCAAAAAAGGAUGUAAAUAAAACUUGUCUAUCAUAAAAAUAUAUUCUUCUUAAUAAAAAUUUUAAUCAUUUUAUAUUAUUUUACCUCGGAUGUGAAUGGGAGAUUACCUCAGUUAUAGAGAUGGGAUACCAAAGAGCGUCAAAAAAAACUAACAUCUAUCGAUCGGUUUUGAAUAACCGAGGGGAAAGGUGAAAAGUCAUUCAUUUGAUCCCCAGUGUAGGUCGGAUUUUUUAAUACUGAGGGGUAUAACCAAUGUUUUUUAAAAUUCCAUUUUAACUGACCUUGAUCAUUUUAUAUAGAUCCUACAAAUUAGGUAGAGAAUCAUAUCAUUGUAUUUUAUUUAGAAUAUAAAACAAAAUACAAUUUUACAUGUUUAUAAAGCAAAUGUACAAUCCUUGCAAUACUUAUCGUGAUAUUGGUAUACACAAAACCUAUGCCAAGAGAACCUAUACAUAUUUCACCUAAAUUGACAAAACAUUUACACAAUGCUAGUGUAUAGAUAAAAAUCAAGAAAAACUAGUGUUUACUAGAUUCAUAAUGACAUAAGAAACACUUGCACAACGUGAUCGGAUGUCAUCUAUAUCCUCUUGUGGAAAUGGUGUUUUAUUGCUAGACGCUUAUAAUUUGAACAAAAUUUAAAUUAUGAUAAGAUAACUACAACAAUAAUAAAAUAACAAUUAUACAUAAAUUACAUGUAUAUGGAUAAAGUUAAUACCUUAUUCAAUGAAUUAAUAAUGCCAUUAGAGAAAAUAUUAGACAUAUGUAUCAUAGUAUUAUAUCGACAUAUAAAGUUCUGUGAUUAUCUUCGCUGCUACAAAUAAUUUCAUAUUGUUACUAAUUAAUACACACAAGACACAAGUAAUACAUUAGAGAAACUAAAAUAAUAUCAAAAAGCAUAAGUAAUACUUACACGUGGUUCUAUGAACUUUAGCUUUUUACCCUGUAUAUUACGUUUCACAAAUUGUAUCCCUCCAAAUCAUUACAUGAUGGUAAAAAUCAAACAUGAAUAAAACUUUUCAAGACUAAAGGUAAAAUUUGAGUAUUCCAAAUAAUACCACUUACGCACUUAAAAUCUUUUGUAUAUCUUCAUCAAGAUGACAAUGUAACCAGCAUAACAUAACUAUAAUAUUUUUCUUCUGACAUAAAAUAAUUAAUUGCAAAUGUUUGCUACAUAAAAACAUAGAAUAAUUACCAAUGUGUGUAUAAAUUGAUUUAUAAAUGAAAACACAAAUUAAAUCAUAUACUUAAUUAUGGAUAAAUUAUGACAUGUAAUAUCUUUUAUUCUCUUUAACCAACUUGUUUGUAUGCGUAUAUGGAUAUUGUUUGGUUAAAUUACCUUAAAAUUGAAUGUUCAAUGAAUCUAUGAAAUAAUAUGCUUUCAAUUUUCUUUCGACACUUGUCUCAUGCAUGACCCUAAUUAAAGGUAAUGCAAAUGUCAAAAUUUUAUGUUAAAGUAUGAGAACAAUGAAUUAGGGAAUCUCGUCUAUCAUACUAAAUAAUCUUUUUCAUUUCCAUUUAGUUAGAUUUGCAAAUAAGAGUGUUAGAUUACAUUAUUUUAUUUCCUCUGAAUACUAUGUUGUAUGAUAUAACAGAAGAAAUUAUUGUUUUAUUAGGGUGCUUGAGUAGAGGUUGUAUCUCGCUCCAACUGAAUUGAUAAAACAUCAUUCGUUUGUGAAACGUUUUUAGUCGCGCUGAGGAAGAAGUAAGAUUCAUGGGUUGAAAUUAUUUUAGGUUGAAGAUGAUAUUCGAAAGGAAAGAUAUACUCCUUUAUAGAUAAAAGUAAAAAUAAAAUUAGAGAGGAAAUGACUCGCUCGUAAUGAGCGUAUUGGCUCUCUGCAUUUUAAAACAGGGUUCUAGGGUCACAUCCUCUUCAAGUAAUUUCUUGACUAACAUGUAUCUCUAUUUAAGACUCAUAUAAAGUUUGAAUAAAAACUUUAUGACACAGGAAAGAAAAUUAUUAAUAGAAGAGGUAACAAGUCUGAAUGGAUAAAAUACAAAGAUUAUUAGUGAAAUAAAAUCUACUAAAGUACGAAUAUUCUGCUCUUACUACACACAAGUAACAUUUAAUAUUAAUCUCCAUAAAAAUUUCUUAUGGUUAUUAUAAAAAUAACAAUUAAUUAUAUCUCCAUAGUUUUUCAAAGGUUAUUAUAUGUGUAUUGAUAUUUUAUUUGUUUGCAUCUUUUAAAAGGUGAACAAGCGCCACCGUAACUAUUAAAAAGUAGAGAAAUAUAAAUUGAAGAAUGAGAAAGAUCAAUAGCUUAUAAUAUUAUAUAUAAAUAUAGAAGUAUAAAAUUGUAAGAAACUUUAAAUUAUUUUCAAUUUAUUUUUAAGAUACUUUGAGAGGUGAUAGGAUGGAAAAGAAAAUGUGAUAUGCAUAAAUUGAAGGUCAUGAAUAUUUCUCUAAAAUUUAAAGUGAAGAAGAUACUAAAAAUAUUAUUACUUGUUGUCCUAUUUCAUUUCAUUACAAUAAUACUAGUGUGAAAUCCACAACUAUAGGUUGUGAAAUAAAAUUUAAACAAAAAUAUAAUUAUUGGGGUAAAAUAAAUAUCCAAAUGACAUACGACAACACAUAAAAUAUAUUAGGUGUUUGCGUCUUCUCUAGGGACUUUCAAUUAAAAACUAAAUUUGUAAACUCUUAAAGGUAUUUAUUUAUCUCCUGGGAUUAAGCAAUCCACGCACUAUUUUACAUUUACAAUAAGUGUUGCUUAUGCAUUUUCCUCUAUAAGGAGGCCGGCAAUAUAUUUUAUUUUGAUAAUCUGAAUCAUCAAAACAUUCGAUUCUCUCUGCUGCAAUAAAAAAACACUAUAUGGUUAUUAAAAUGAAAAGAAAUAUAACGUAUGAAAUAAAACAGAACAUUUAAAAUGAAUGAACAAAAGUUACCUUUAAUUUUCGUUCCAAUAAAAAAUAGAAAGAAUAAUAUAAUCAUAACAUAAGGAAAAUUUAUUACUUCUACCAUAUUUCUCCUCGUUAUUUUUAAUAAAUUAUUUUGUAACUUUAUAGUUUAUGAAUAAGAGUGGAUCCUCGCCUUUAAUAAUUUUUACUUGUGGACACUUAGUUGUAAAAUAAAUCUUAAAAUUAAAUUAAUUAGUAUAUAACUUUUCGAUACAUCAUUUUGUUGUCUUUGUCUCUUCAGCAUAUCCAAAAAAGAUGUAAAAUAAAACUUGUCUAUCAUAAAAAUAUAUUCUUCUUAUAAAAAAUUUUUAAUCAUUUUAUAUUAUUUUACCUCGGAUGUGAAUGGGAGAUUACCUCAGUUAUAGAGAUGGGAUACCAAAGAGCGUCAUAAAAAACUAACAUCUUAUAGAUCGGUUUUGAAUAACCGAGGGGAAAGGUGAAAAAGUCAUUCAUUUGAUCCCCAGUGUAGGUCGGAUUUUUUUAAUAAUUGAGGGGUAUAACCAAUGUUUUUUAAAAUUCCAUUUUGACUGACCUUGAUCAUUUUCUAUAUAGAUCCUACAAAUUAGGUGACAGAAUCAUAUCAUUUGUAUUUUAUUUAGAAUAUAAAACAAAAUACCAAUUUUACAUUGUUUAUAAAAGCAAAUGUACAAUCCUUGCAAUACUUAUCGUGAUAUUUGAUAUACACAAAACCUAUUCCAAGAGAACCUAUACAUAUUUGCACCUAAAUUGACAAAACAUUUACACAAUGCUAGUGUAUAGUUAAAAAUCAAGAAAAACUAGUGUUGACUAGAUUCAUAAUGACAUAAGAAGACACUUGCACAACGUGAUCGGAUGUCAUCUAUAUCCUCUUGUGGAAAUGGUGUUUUAUUGCUAGACGCUUAUAAUUUGAACAAAAUUUAAAUUAUGAUAAGUUAACUACAACAAUAAUAAAUUAACAAUUAUACAUAAAUUACAUGUAUAUGGAUAAAGUUAAUACCUUAUUCAAUGAAUUAAUAAUGCCAUUAGAGAAAAUAUUAGACAUAUGUAUCAUAGUAUUAUAUCGACAUAUAAAGUUCUGUGAAUACAUAAAUUACAUGUAUAUGGAUAAAGUUAAUACCUUAUUCAAUGAAUUAAUAAUGCCAUUAGAGAAAAUAUUAGACAUAUGUAUCAUAGUAUUAUAUCGACAUAUAAAGUUCUGUGAUUAUCUUUGCUGCUACAAAUAAUUUUCAUAUUGUUACUAAUUAAUACACAAAAGACAUAAGUAAUACAUUAGAGAAACUAAAAUAAUAUCAAAAAGCAUAAGUAAUACUUACACGUGGUUCUAUGAACUUUAGCUUUUUACCCUGUAUAUUACGUUUCACAAAAUUGUAUCCCUCCAAAUCAUUACAUGAUGGUAAAAAUCAAACAUGAAUAAAACUUUUCAAAACUAAAGGUAAAAUUUGAGUAUUCCAAAUAAUACCACUUACGCACUUAAAAUCUUUUGUAUAUCUUCAUCAAGAUGACAAUGUAACCAGCAUAACAUAACUAUGAUAUUUUUCUUCUGACAUAAAAUAAUUAAUUGCAAAUGUUUGCUACAUAAAAACUUAGAAUAAUUAAUAAUGUGUGUAUAAAAUGAUUUAUAAAUGAAAACACAAAUUAAAUCAUAUACUUAAUUAUUGAUAAAUUAUGACAUGUAAUAUUCUUUAUUCUCUUUAACCAACUUGUUUGUAUGCGUAUAUGGAUAUUGUUUGUUAAAUUACCUUAAAAUUGAAUGUUCAAUGGAUCUAUGAAAUAAUAUGCUUUCAAUUUUCUUUCGACACUUGUCUCAUGCAUGACCCUAUUUAAAAAGUAAUGCAAAUGUCAAAAUUUUAUGUUAAAGUAUGAGAACGAUGAAUUAUGGAAUCUCGUCUAUCAUACUAAAUAAUCUUUUUCAUUUCCAUUUAGUUAGAUUUGCAAAUAAGAGUGUUAGAUUACAUUAUUUUAUUUCCUCUGAAUACUAUGUUGUAUGAUAUAAAGAAAGAAAAUAAUUUUUAAUUGAUAUUUUCAUUAUUAAUAUUUUUCAUGAUUUAAUUGAUAUGUGAAUAUUUUUAAUUGUUUAAAAAUACUUUGAAGUUUUCAAAAAUUAUGAAUUUUUUUCUCCAAGGUACUUUGACCUUGUUUGACAUAUGAUAAAUCUCAUGGCAAUUUUUUUGGUGUUUUGAUGAGGUUUUAGGAAAUUGACCAACCAUUAUUUAAUUUAACGCAUAUUUUGUUUAUUUUUAAUUGUUUAAAUGCCAAAUAAAUUGUGUAGAGCCAUUUUAAUUGACUUUGUGAGUUUGACUUGUGUUGUUGGACCUUGGUCAAGGUGGAUUUGACUUUGUUAGGUUAAGAUUAUUGGAUUUAGGGGAUUGAUGGAAUGUAAAUUCCAUCUCCCAAAAUGAACGAAUGAUCUUAAUUUUGGUAAAAGUCCUCCUUUGACCAAUUUGUGAUUGAUCCAUUCCCCCUCCCUCUUUAUCUCAUUCCCCUUCUUUAUUCAUUCAUAUCAUGGACCUAUGAUAUCUCUACAUCCAAAGGCUAGUUGAUUGCAAAAUCAACAUGAGUAUGGAUGAGAUUAGGUCCACCACUUUGCAUAUUCUUUUUGUGUGUGGUAUGUUUCAUGAGUAUAAUCCAUUAUACUAUAUCUCUAACAUGAAUUAACACCAAAAUUCUAUUGCCCGACCUCAAAUAGUUGUGACUUCUACAUAAGUCCAAUUAUGAUUGCUUAAUAUAGCGCUAAAUUUGUGACACAAAAAGGCAUAGCAUUAUAGUAAGUGAGAUUGUAAGUUUCCACUCUUUCAUGGUAUUGUGUAGAAACUUGGCAUUUUUUCCUUCCUGUGGAAGAUGUCUUGGUUCAAGGAUCCAUGCUAGUGAUAAGUGCGUUGAGUGUUCUCCAAAGAAUGACUUAAACAAAAACAAAACAAAAACAAUACUAACUUCUAACCGACUAACAACUAACAUUUAAUUUCAAGCCAUUUACUUUUAUGCACUUUAAUUUUGAGCUUUUAAUUCAUUUGCCAUUAUUCAUACCAUUCAAUUUGUUUACUUAAUGUCAUUUUCACUUUGUCCACUUGGGUCAUAAUUUGUGAUAUAUUGUAUUUGUAUAUACUUGUUGGUUUGUGUGGUCCUUUUACCUUAAUGUACAUCAUAAGAACAAAAACCCUAAUAAAUAUUUUUCGUGGACUGUUGAUUUGAUCUGAGACUAUUGGACUUAGAAUUUAGGCAACACUCCCUAUGCAAAUGACUUGGCCAAUGCCAAAUUUCAUGAAACCAAUUGCUUGUGAAGUUAACAUCCAUAUGAUACAAUAUUGAAGAUCCAUUUGAGUUCAUCUGCAACAUGAUCAUAUUGAAACUGUUAUUUUGAACCUGUGUCUAAUGCUCCUCUUUUAAGUCAUCUGAUACAUGGGGAAUCAUAAAGAAGAUCAUGGAGUUGCUAAUCUUAGAUGUGGCUAUCUUUAUUUGAUGUCUUGGUCUUCACCUUGCUAUUUGUGUAUUGAUAUUCCUUGAUUCUAAACUCCAUAGGAAAUUUUGGUUUCUAUAUGACAUUUUUGUUUAUUGGAUUACAGCCCAGUGGUCAGAUCUUUUCAACUCUUAACUUUUAAAUUCGUGCUUAGGAUUAGUCUCUUCAUCUCCUUCCCAUUUCUUUAAUUUCAAAAUCUCUCCCUCCUUUUAAAACCUUCUUUCAUUGUGUUUGUUUUCUAAACUUAGACCAUUUUUUUGCAAAUUAGAAACUUUGGCCUUAUGCCAUUGCAUUUUUAAACUCUUUUCUCAAUCAAACCUGUAAAUAAACUUAAUUAUACUUGACUUAAAAUUUUAGAAGAAAAGAAGAACUAACACUCAUUCAAAUAAUUUUAGGCCUUUUGUGCCUUUGUUAAACUUAAAUUUUUGUUAAAAGCAAUGCACUCAUUUUGAAAUUAAUACCACGAACUACGAGGUUUUGAUCCCUCAUUUUUGUGUUGGUACCUAGGCACAAGUCUGAAGGUCUUGUCAAACACAAAAAUAUAUUUAAUGAAUCUUUUUCUCAUCCCUCCACUCUAUUUUUUUUUGCAAACAUCAGUUGUACAAAAACACAUAUGCACAAAAAAAGGGCUCCCUAGGAUUACCUAUGACAAUUUGGGUGCUAACAUCUUCCCUCUGUGUAAUCCACCCCCUUAUCCGUAAUCUCUGACAUUUUAUUAGUUUUGAUUUAAAAACUUCUUAUCUUUUGAGUUUUGUUCGUACUUUUCCCUCUUCCCUUGAAAACCCAAAAAGCGCGGUGGCGACUCUGGUUUUAUUGAAUUUUAGCAUAUCCAUAGCUUAAUGGUCAUGGCAACCAAAAUCAGAAUCAGGAGUAUAUUAUUUGAUGAGAAUGUAUUAGCACCCCGCAUAUUUGUUGUACUCAACGAGAACCAUUUAGUUAAAUUUACGUGUAAAAGUGUUAGAUUAUGUUAUUUUAUUUCAUUUGAUUAUUAUGUUGUAUGAAAUAAACCAAUAAAAUAAGUUUUUUAAUUAGGGUGCUUGACGAGAUUUUAAAUCUCGCUCCAACUGAAUAGAUAAAACAUCAUUCGUUUGUGAAAAGUUUUUUAGUCGUGCUGAGGAAGAAGUAGGAUUGAUGGGUUGAAAUUAUUUUUAGGUGGAAGAUGAUUAUUCUAAAGGAAAGAUAUACUCCUUUAUGGAUACAAGUAAAAAUAAAAAUAGAGAGUACAUGACUCGCUCGCAAUGAGAAAAUUGUCUCUCUCCUUUUUUAAACAUGGUUCUAGGGCCACAUCCUCUUCGUGUAAUUAAUUGACUAACAUAUAUCCUCUAUUUAAGACUUAUGUAAAGUUUGGAUAAAAAACUUUAUGACACAAAGAGGGAAAAUAAUUAAUAGAAGAGGUAACAAGUCUUGAAUGGAUAAAAUACAAAGAUUAUAAGUGAAACAAAAUCUACUAAACUACACAUAUUAUGCUCUUACUAGACACAAGUAAACAAUUAAUUUUAAUCGCCAUAAUAUUCUCCAAUGGUAAUUAUAAUAAACAAUUAAUUAGAUCUCCUGAGUUUUUUCAAAGGUUGUUAUAUGUGUAUUGAUGUUUUAUUUGUUCACAAAUUUUAAAAGUCAACAAGGUCACUGUAAUUAUUAAAAAGAAAGAGAAUAUAAAUUGAAGUAUGAGGAAGAUCACUAGUUUUACAAUAUUAUUAUAUAAAUAUAGAAGUACAAAGUUAUAAGAAACUUUAACUUAUUUUCAAUAAAUCUUCUAGAGUUACUUUGAGAGGUGAUAUGAUUGAAAAGAAAAUGUAAUAUGGAUAAAUUGAAGGUCAUGAAUAUUUCUCUAAAAUUAAAAGGGAAGAAGGCAAUCAAAAUAUUAUUAGUUUUUUCUAAAAUUAAAAAGGAAGAAGACAAUAAAAAAUGAAAAUAUUAUUAUUUGUUAUUUUAUUUCAUUUCAUUACAAUCAUGUUACUAUAUAAACCCACAACUACCAGGUUCUUGAAAUAGAACUAAAAACAAAUAAGAUUGUUGGGGUAACCAUACAAUAUCCAAAUGAUAUGCGACAACACAUAUAUUAGGUGUUUGUGUGUUCUCUCGGGUCUCUCUUUUUAUGAGAUGUUUGUAAACUACUAAAGAUAUUUCUUUAUCUUCUCGGAUUAAGCAAUUCAUGUCCUAGUACUCAUUAACAAUGACUCUUGUUUAUGCAUGUUCUUUUAAAAGGAAACCGACAAAAAAAAUAUUUCUACAAUCUGAAUCAUCAAAACAUUUAAUUCUUUCUCCUACAAUAAAAACACACAAUAAGGUUAUUAAAAUAAUAAAAAAAUACAAGGUAUGAAAUAAAAAAUAAAGUGUUAAAUGAAUGAAUUGAAGUUUCCUUCAAUUUUCGAUCCAAUAAAAAAUAAAAAGAUUAAUAUAAUCAUAACUUAAUAGAACUUUAUUAUUUCUAUCCUAUUUCUCCUCGUUAUAUUUAAUAAAUUAUUUUAUAACUUUAUAGUUUAUAAAUAACAGUGCAUCCUCACCCUCUUUAUAUCUCUUAAUUAUGGAUACAUAGUUGCAAAAUAAAUCUUAAAAAGAUGUCACAUCAUUUUGUUGUGUUAGUCUCUUCAGCACAUCUAAAAAAGAUGUCGGAUAAAACUUGUCUAUCAAAAAAAUAUUUUCUUCUUAUAAUAAAAUUCUAAUUAUUUUAAAUUAUAUUACCUCGGAUGUGAAAUGGAGAUUACCUCAGUUAUAGAGAUUGGAUAACAAAGGGCAUCAUAAAAAACUAAUAUUUUAUCCAUCGGUUUUGAAUAACCGAGGGGAAAGGUGAAAAAGUCAUUGACUUGAUCCCCAAUUUACGUAGGAUUUUUUAAAUAACCGAGGGGUAUAACCAAUGUUUUUUAAAAUUCCAUUUUGACUUACCUAAAUCAAUUUUUACAUAGAGCCUACAAAUUAAGUGACAGAAUCAUAACGUUUGUAUUUUAUAUAGAAUACAAUACAGAAUAUCAAUUUUACAUUGUUUACAAAAGUAAAUGUACAAUCCUUACAAUACUUAUAAUGAUAUUUGGUAUACACAAAACCUCUACCAAGAGAACCUAUACAUAUUUGCACCUAAAUUGAAAAAACCUCUACACAAUGCAAGUGUAUAGAUGUAAAUCAAGAAAAACUAGUAUUUACUAGAUUCAUAAUAACAUAGGAAGACACUUGCCCAAGGUGAUCGGAUGUCAUCUAUAUCCUCUUGUGGGAAUGGUGUUUUGUUGCUAAACAUUUAUAAUUUGAACAAAAUUUAAAUUAUGAUAAGAUAACAUUAAAUUAACAAAUCUACAUAAAUUAUGAUAAGAUUCAUAAUAACAUAGGAUAACAAAAUUUAAAUUAUGAUAACAUUAAAUUAGCAAAUAUACAUAAAUUACAUCUAUAUGGAUUAAGUUAAUACCUUAUGCCAGGUUUUGAUAAUGUCAUUAGAGAAAAUUAUUGUUGUUGCUGCUAUCAAACUGAAUUACUACCCGCUCAUGGGUUCUGAAUACCGACAUAAUGACGUUGACAUCAUUCCCCACAUCCCUCGCCUGUUGAAUCUGGAAUUCAUUCUCAUCCAUCAACUUCUGGAUAUCCCUUUUGACGAUAGUAGACCCACGGGGGUUCACACUGCAAAUGACACAACCAUCAUGGUCAUGCUCGUAAUCACUAAUCAAACAUAGAGGUCUAUGCAUUUCCACCAACGAUCUCCAGAUACACCUCAUAUCAAAAACUCUUAAAUUCCCUGGACAGUCGUCCACCAUGUUGACAGAAGUGUUACCUUGAGCAGGCAAUAGACCAGCUUUCACAUUCGGUGCUUUGUCCUCAAACGACACCAUACUACUCAUUACAAGCUUCUAAACUUCAUACUUCAGAGGGUAAUAAUUCUCUAUAUCAUGACCAAGGGUUCCAUGGUGAAAAGCGUAAUGAAUAUCAGGCUUGAACCACAAUGGCAGUGGCUCUGGAAUUUGUUGAGGGUUUAUUGGCUGAAUAAGAUUCUUGAGUACCAAAGAUGGGGUCAAAGGAGACCUUCUUCCUCUCAAAAUUUGGUUGAUAAUGAUUGUUGUUGUUGUAGUUGGUUCGUUGUUGCAGUUGUUGCUGAUGAUGUUGUUGAAUUGGAACUGAUUGAUUGGUUGAAUUGUUGGAAAAAACUGGAAUCACUGAAGAAACUUGGUGUUGAAGCUGAUGAGGUUGAGAACUUUUCCUUAUAUGAGACCUCCUCUGCUUCCCCACUAACACUGCAUUAGUCUCUCCCUCCUUCAUUCACAAACUCCUUCCUCAAAUAUCAUCCCCAUGUUUACGAUUUCGGUAAAAUCAUUGAGGGUACUUUCAAUCAUGCGUUCGUAGUAAAACAAACUCAGUCUUUUUAAGAAGAUCUUAGUCAUCUCCUUCUCUUCAAAAGAUGGACUGAUCUGAGCAGCUAACUCCCUCCUCCUUUGAGCAUAUUCUUUAAAUGUCUCCUUGUUCUUCUGAGACAUAGACAUCGAUUGGUCUCUAUCUGGGCUCCAUAUUAACGUUGUACUUAUACUGCUUGACAAAGGCCUCACCUAGGUCAUUGAAAGUAUGAACGCUAGCAUUAUCCAGGCCCAUAUACCAUAUUAGAGAAGCUCUAGUUAAACUGUCUUGGAAAUAGUGAAUCAACAGUUGAUCAUUUUUAGUUUGAGUAGACAUUUUCCUGGAAUACAUAAUAAGAUGGCUCAACGAACAAGUAUUCCCUUUUUACUUUUCAACAUCCGGGGCCUUGAAUUUCACUAGAAUUUAAACAUUGGAAACAAAAUAGAGUUCAACAGCAGUCUUGCUAAACAUAUCUUUCCCUCUUAGAGUCUUCAAUUUUUUGUGUAGUUAAAGGAAUUGAUCUUUCAUCUCAUCCAUCUUUUCAUAGACAUCUGGAACUUCAGAUGGCUCAGAGUGGUAGAUAGUCUCCUCAACACGAGGAAAAGUAUGAACGAUCGAUGGAGGUACUGUCAUGACCGGACUAGAUGCCGACAAAGAAACAAACAUGGGCGCAUACCCCUCUAGCAUGAAAUUUAGUGGCAUUCCCUAAGGAAAUCCAGCAGGCAUAGAAGGAAUGGGUUGGAUGGCAGCAGUAACAAUUACAGACAGCGAAACAAUCUCAAGAUUGAUAGUACUCUAAGGAGGAGGAGUUGCAGGAGACGAUGAUGGCUGGUUCUCAGCAGCAAUCACAGAUUCCAUUAACGUCGUAAGUCUAGCGAUCUCACUCUUCAGCUCUCUAUUCUCUUGCUCUAGAUCCUCCAUUCUUUUCAGUCGAUUAGCAUGAGUAUUGUAGCGGUGAGUCAGCUUUGCUGAGGCAUAAAAGAAGAACUGAUAAGACAUCUGUCAGAAGAAACAUGUUAUGCAAAUGAUGCAUGACAUGCAAUGCUUUUUUGAUUGUUUUGAAUUUCAAGGAAUAUAUGAUGUCUCAUUUGCAAAUAUAUAACAAUAAUGAAUAAUAACAAUUCAAUUGACCAUAAAAUAUCUUUUUAUUCAUAAAAUAUCUUAAAAUUGAACAACCAAUGGAUCUAUGAAAUAAUACAUUUUCAAUUUUCUUUCAACACAUGUCUUAUGCAGGACCGUAAUUAAAAGGUAAUGCAAAUGUCAACAUUUUUUGUUAAAGUAAGAGAACAAUGAAUAAUGGAAUCUCGUCUAUCGUACUAAAUAAUCUCUGAGUGUUAUCUAGUUGAGGUGUCGUGGUCUUAAUAUUGUGAACCGAGACAGAACAAUUAUCUUUCGUGCUUGCACCACCCGUAAAAACUUUCUCAACUACAGUUCUAGAUAUGUCCAACUAAUAUGAAUUUGGAUGGUAGAAUACAACAUUUGAUUUUAGUUUAUGCAUCAUUAAAAUAAACGAAUACAAUAUAAAUAUUAAAAUACAUAAUUAAUAUCAACAAGAUAUAGUUGGAUAUGCCCCAAUCACAUCGGGGAUACACCUUUCUCAGUCAACCUCGACCAGCCUCUCUCACUCCUUUCGCACCUCCUCAAUCAUCUUUUCUCGUACCUCCUGAAACGUCCUUGACUGUCGAACAAUCGAAAUCAACAAGAGUCUCCAGCAAAGUUUAUUUUUAAAAGGGAUAAUAUCGAUAAAACCUUAAAAGAAUAAAAAUAUGUUCAUCGCAACCAAAAUCAGAUUCAGGAGUCGAUUAUGUGAUGAGAAUGUAUUAGCACGCCACACAUCUGUUGUAUUCAACGAGAACCAUUUAGUUAGAUUUACGAAUAAGAUUGUUGGAUUAUGUUAUUUUAUUUCAUAUGAUUAUUAUGUUGUAUGAAGUACACCGAGAAAAUAAGUUAUUUAUUUGGGUGCUUGACGAGAAUUUGAAUCUCGCUCCGACUGAAUAGAUAAAACAUCAUUCGUUUGUGAAAAGUUUUUUAGUUGUGUUGAUGAAGAAGUAGGAUUGAUGGGUUGAAAAUAUUUUUAGGUGGAAUAUGAUUAUUCGAAAAGGAAAGAUAUACUCCUUUUAUGGAUACAAGUAAAAAUAAAUAUAGAGAGUAGAUGACUCGCUCGCAAUGAGCAUAUUGGCUCUCUCCAUUUUUAAACAGGAUUCUAGGGCCACAUCCUCUCGUGUAAUUUCUUGACUAACAUGUAUCCUCCAUUCAAGACUCAUGUAAAGUUUGGAUAAAAUACUCUAUGACACAAAGAGAGAAAAUAAUUAAUAGAAGAGCUAACAAGUCUUGAAUGGAUAAAAUACGAAGAAUAUAAGUGAAACAAAAUCUACUAAAGUACACAUAUUAUGCUCUGACUAGACACAAGUAAACAACUAAUUUUAAUCGUCAUAAUUUUCUCCAAUGGUUAUUAUAAAAAUAAAUAAUUAAUUAUAUCGCCUAAGUUUUUUAAAAGGUUAUUAUAUGUGUAUUGAAGUUUUAUUUGUGCACAUAUUUUAAAAGUGAACAAGGCCACUGUAAGUAUUAAAAAGAAAGAGAAAUAUAAGUUGAAGUCUGAGAAAGAUCACUAGUUUUACAAUAUUUUUAUAUAAAUAUAAAAGUAUAAAAUUAUAAGAAACUUUAAAUUAUGAUAAUGUGAUAUGCAUAAAUUGAAGGUCAUGCAUAUUUCUCGAAAAUUAAAAGGGAAGAAGGCAAUCAAAAUAUUAUUAGUUUUUUCUAAAAUUAAAAAGGAAAAAGACAAUAAAAAAUAAAAAUAUUAUUAUUUGUUUUCUUCUUUCAUUCCAUUACAAUCAUGCUAGUGUAAAAAUCCACAACUAUUAGGUUCUUGAAAUAACAGUAAAAGGAAAUCAAAUUGUUGGGGUAACAAUACAAUAUGCAAAUAACAUAUGACAACACAUAAAAUAUAUUAGGUGUUUCUGUGUUCUCUCGGGUCUUUAGUUAUCUGAGGUGUUUGUAAACUCAUAAAGGUAUUUCUUUAUAUUCUCGGAUUAAGCAAUUCACGUGCUAGUACACAUUUACAAUGACUGUUGUUUAUGCAUGUCACUUUAAAAGGAGACCGACAAAACAUUCUAUUUUUACAAUCUGAAUCACCAAAACAUUUAAUUCUUUCUCCUGCAACAAAAACUAACAAUAAGGUUAUUAAAAUAUUAAAAAAAUACAACGUAUGAAAUAAAAAAGAAAAUUUAAAAUGAAUGAAUUAAAGUUACCUUCAGUUUCCAUUCCAAUAAGAAAUAGAAAUAAUAAUAGAAUCCUAACAUAAGCAAACUUUGUUAUUUCUACCAUAUUUCUCUUUGUUAUUUUUUAUAAUUAUUUUGUAACUUUAUACUUUAUGAAUAAGAGUGUAUC